UAUUUAUACGGUCCCUCCAGGACUCUAACUGGGAAAAGCCACUUCUUAAGGCACCAGCUCCCUUUGGUGGCUGCUCCUUCCAGCAGAGAGAGGCACUUGUGUUCGGCCCAGGAGUGCUGCCAACGAUGACAAGAGAGCAGAGAAAGUUGGAGUGAUCGAGACAAGUUUCAGCUGUGUUCAUGAGCAGGAAAAGCUACACCACAGACAUGUAACACAGAAAAUCUGCAAACAGAAAUACAGCCUGAGACUUGAGCAACUCGAGCGGGCAUCUCGCCUUUGUGCUUCAAGUCACAGUAGACUGACAUUUGUGAUUUGUGUCCACAAAAAGGAAGGCUUGGAAGCAAGCUGCAGAGCAAGCCUGCAAUGUCUAAGUGGGAUGGAGUGAGGUGGAGGUGUCUUUAUUUCCAUAUAUAGUAUUGAUGAGUGCAACUGGCAUAUAGCAUUCAGCUUUGUAACCACAUCCUAAAUCAGACAGGAUACGAAAAGAGCCUCGGAAUGAAGACUGGGGUUGGAAGGAGGACUUUAGAGGAAGAAGAUACAUUUGCUCUGUCCAGCUGACCAAAAAAAGAUUGAGAGGUGACUUGUUUACAGCAUCCACAUACUUUCAUGGUUCUUUUGUGUAUAAUGAGCAACUGAAGGCGGCCAGGGGCUGAGGCACUAGUGAAGAAGGAAGAAUGC
Molecule: long non-coding RNA, 678 nt
Organism: Oxyura jamaicensis (ruddy duck)
Lineage: Eukaryota; Metazoa; Chordata; Aves; Anseriformes; Anatidae
Exons: 3
Source: RefSeq, a predicted model, not a curated record